CUUGUCGGGUCACACUGCACUUUAGCUCUGAAAGUCCGGCCACCACACCUUGAAUUCCUACUCUCAUUUGGCUAAUGUAAAUAAUUGAUCAGGGAUAGAAAAGUUCUGAAGAAGAGCCUCCCCCUCUUGUACCCUCCUGUGGGGAAGAGUCUGGCUGCUGUCCGUCUCCCGGUGACCAGAGGAGGAAGAACCACCUAUUUUCAGAGCUACAACACAGGCUCACCGGCGACACUCACGAUUCUAAAGGUGGCUUCCUGGCCUGGGUGAACCCAACUUGGAAACAGAUGAGGAAAUAGGUUCAUAAGAACAAGAUCGGGGCGCCUGGGGGGCCCAGUCGGUUGAGCGUCCAACUUGGGCUUCAGGUCCUGAUCUCGCGGUCCAACAAGAUCAUCUGCUCAAGCGUGACGUCACCAGGAGUUGCCCGGCAUUGAGAUAGAGAACCGACAUCCUGACUCCAAAUCCGCCUCUGUUUCCCUCCAAAGACUCCACUCCAUUUCCCUGAGAUGUCUUCACUGAAACCCCUCCCUGCACACUUCGGAGAAUCCUCCAAACAACCUGUGUUCCACGAUGCUCAGAGGUUGGUUUCCCCGCGGGUGCACAUCCCACCCGCGGCCACGAGAUGGCAGGGUCGCCCCGACCACCGAGGGCUCCAUUCCUCGCGCCAGUAGGGGGCUGUCGUUCCUCGCUUCACAACGUGAGAAACGAAAACAAAAAAAGAAAAACAAAACAAAACAAUAAAACUUCAGUGUCCACGUUGAUGAAAUGAGGUGGUGGGAGGUUUGUUUUUCCUUUUCUUUCUUUUCUUUUUCUCUUUUAAGUCAGGCAGGGAGAGUUCAAACAAACAAGUCUCUCCAUUUUCA
Molecule: long non-coding RNA, 860 nt
Organism: Acinonyx jubatus (cheetah)
Lineage: Eukaryota; Metazoa; Chordata; Mammalia; Carnivora; Felidae
Exons: 4
Source: RefSeq, a predicted model, not a curated record